AAAAGUGUGGGCCUUAUCUCAAGGAGAAGUUCGAGAUAUCCUCAAAACACAUUCUCAUGUGUGGAAAGAUUCACAUUACGUUGAAGUUGCUACCUUAACUAGGUAUACAAGGUGAUUGGACAUGAAUUGAGAUUUACUGCUCCUCAUUUUGGAUUAACUAGCCAUAUAAAUAUUUCUCUUUCAAUAUUCUGUCAAUUAUAUGUUCUUUGAAUAACCGUUCAGAUUUUGAUUUGACCAUUUACAUUGUAUACACUAAUAAUCUAGUUAGAAGUUUAAGGCCUGGAGAUUUUGACAGACAUGUCACCGUCGAUAGGCUUGAUGUUGCUCGUAGAGUAAAGAUUCUUCAAUCUUCGGGUCAGUUAUCUCUUAUGGAAACUGUUAUAUACUCCGGCU
RNAcentral lists this long non-coding RNA (393 nucleotides) under Erythranthe guttata (spotted monkey flower). RNAcentral describes it as "long non-coding RNA (EGUT_LNC000814)". The record is from RNAcentral. Lineage: Eukaryota; Viridiplantae; Streptophyta; Magnoliopsida; Lamiales; Phrymaceae.